RNAcentral lists this long non-coding RNA (1958 nucleotides) under Zostera marina. Its description in RNAcentral is "long non-coding RNA (ZMAR_LNC004356)". The record is from RNAcentral. Lineage: Eukaryota; Viridiplantae; Streptophyta; Magnoliopsida; Alismatales; Zosteraceae.
AAAACUUACUUCAAUCUUGAUUUUAAAAAACCUAUAACAAAUCAAAAACACAUUAAUUAUUUUAUAUAAAUUUUAAAUUAUUUAAAAACAUAAAUUAAUUCAUUAUUUUUUAAAUAAUUUAAAAACAGAAAAUAAUUCAAACAAAUUUAUUUCAUGCAAAUAAUUAAUUAAGAUAUAGAUUCAUAUAAAUUAUUAAUUAAAUUGAUAUUUAAUUACAAUUUUAAUUAUUUAAUUAACAUUUUAAUUAAGAAAUUAUUUUCAUACAAUUUAAUAAUUAUUAAUUAACAAAUUCUAAUUUCAUGCAAAUUAAUUAUUAUUAAUAGAAUUUAAAAUCAUUACAUUUAUUAAAAAACAGUAAUUAAGAACAAUAUUAAAUAUUUUUAAUUUAUUUCAAAACAUGGUAUUUAAAUUAUGAUAUAGCUAAAUAAUUAAUUAUUUAAAUAAAAUAAUUAAUUUUAUUAAUUUUCUAGAUUAUUUAUUUAUUUUAAAAAAUUAUUAAUUAUUUCAUUAAAAACAGUAAAUUAAUUAAUUAAGUUUAUUAAUUUUAAAAAUAUUUAAAAACAGUAAAUUAUUUAUUUAUUUCAAAAUAUUAUUAAUUAUUUAAUUACAAACAGUAAAUCAAAUAAUUAAUUUCAUUAAUUUUAAAAAUAUUUAAAAACAGUAAAUUAUUUAUUUAUUUCAAAAUAUUAUUAAUUCUUUAAUUAAAAACAGUAAAUCAAAUAAAGAUUUUAAAUUAUUUUUAAAAUUAUUUAUUAAUUCUUUAAUUUAAAAACAGUAAAUUAAUCAAACAUAGAUAAUAUAUAUAGUAUAUAUGAUUCCAAACAUUCCAACACCAUAAAUCAAAAUCAAAUUUCCAAACAUUCAAACACCAUAAAUAAUUCCAUACAUAAAUAAACAAAUCAAAAAUACGAACAAAAAGAUAGAUAGAUAAAGAGAUCAAUAGAUUAGAAUCAAAAACAAAACCCAUCACAAAAACCAUUACAAAUAAAUAACUUUAAGAAUAAAUAACCAUCACAAAAACCAUUACAAAAACCAUCACAAACCCAUCGCAAAAGUUCACAUAUAAAUAAAGUUCACAAAACUUUAAGAAUAUAAAAGUUCACAUAUAAAAUAGAUCAGAAAACAACAAGGAAGAUUCUAUACAGAAGUUCACAUAUACAGAGGUGCUAACAAUAAAUCAUUUAACCUUCUUUGAUGGAGACUCAACUGGACUGCUUGAUUUGAACACUGGAGAAAUGAAAAGUCGAAAGUACUGCCUAGGAUCACUGCCGGCAACAAAUAAUCACAAGAAAAAUAGAUGGUUAAAUACUUUGACUACUUAUGAAUCACAAUGUUACUAUAUAAACAGGAAUUAGAUGAGUUUUGAGAUGAUGAAAUUUAAGUAAUGUGAUAUUGUUGCUGUAUUAAAUAAGAGUCCAUUCACAAGCAUUUUCUCAAAAAUAUCAUUUCAUGAUAUGCAUAAUUGGGCGAGUUUAUUGAAUUGAAAAAAAGGUGAAACCUUCUUGUAUGAUCCAAGUAAUGUAAAUGAUAUCUAUUGUGAUCAAAUGCAACCUAAUGUGAUACAAAAAUUAUUAAUACCGACUUGCAUCUAAACAAACAGAACAAAACAUAAAAUUACAGCAACCCCCCAUAAAAAAUAAAUCAAAACAACCCCCCAUUCAAAACAAAACCCAAAACAAAAAUCAAAACAACACACUCAUACAAUCAAAUUACAGCAACUAUCCAUUCACAUAAUCAUUCAUAUACAAAACAUAAAAUAACAAAAUCUAAAUCAAAAAUCUAAAACAAAUAUUGAAAUAUAUAAAUCUCACCAAAGUAUGAAAGGAGCAAGGAACGGAGGCGAGACCGGAGGCGAGACCCGAGACCGGAGGCGAGACCGGAGGCGAGAACUGAGCAACUACGAACGGAGGCAGCAGGGACGCACGGCGGGCGGAAUCGGCAGGAGAGGUCGAUGGGAG